GCCGGGUGUGGUGGUGCGCACCUGUAAUUCCACCUACCUGGGAGGCUGAGGCAGGAGAAUCUCUUGAACCCAGGAGGCGGAGGUUGCAGUGAGCCGAGAUCACGGCACUGCCCUCCAGCCUGGGCAACAGAGGGAGACUCUGUCUCAA
RNAcentral lists this non-coding RNA (148 nucleotides) under Nomascus leucogenys (northern white-cheeked gibbon). The record is from Rfam by way of RNAcentral. Lineage: Eukaryota; Metazoa; Chordata; Mammalia; Primates; Hylobatidae.